Molecule: long non-coding RNA, 5016 nt
Organism: Xiphophorus maculatus (southern platyfish)
Lineage: Eukaryota; Metazoa; Chordata; Actinopteri; Cyprinodontiformes; Poeciliidae
Exons: 2
Source: RefSeq, a predicted model, not a curated record
UGCAUAAUAAUUAGGAACAUGGUGUAUAAGACCAAAGUAAAGUGAGUCAACACAGAAUCAAGUUUUUAAAACAGGAUUUCAUUUUUAAGAAAAACAAACCUAUCCAAACAAAACAGCUAAUAUCAACUGCUUGUGACAACUUUCUGACCCACUCUUCUUUGCAGAAUUGUUUUAAUUCAGGCAUACUAGAAAUUAAGGUUUCAGUUAGACUUUGACUAGGCCCCCUCCAAAACUUUCAUACUGGAUUUCCCAUUAUUAAGAGAUGGAUUUGCUGGUGUGGUGACUUUAUAUAUUGCAUAUUGUGUCAUUAAAUGACACAAUAUGUCAUUUAAUGUCAUUUAAAUGACACAAUAUGCAAAGAGUUCCCAAUAAUACAAAUAAUACCAAAAUCUUGUUUUUCUUUUUUUUAAUCUAACUGUGUUGUUGUUUUCCUCUCUGUAUGAACCCAUAACUACUUCAAGGCCAAAGUUAUCAAGGCAACCCUCCCAAAAAUGAAAUAAUUGCUUCUCGUCCAGCAGAUGGAGCUCAAAAAUAACUCAACACAAAGUGAAUAGAUGAAGCACAUUGUGCAUCUGUCCUUCCUCAUUUGAUCAGUCAUAACUCCGGACCCAUUCACCAUCUGUUUUCCUUCAGGGACGCAAUAAGGGACUCUUUAUUAAACCUCAGGCGGAACCAAAAAGGUGAAUCGGAGGUGAGCAAUAAUCGAAAAAUGCCACUUCGGUUGGCCGGGAGUCUUAAUUGGAUAAAAUGAAAGUCUUUCAAAUGCCACGGGCGUCUUUCGUGGUGUCAUCUCUGAAUGACAUUUUGGCAAUCAUUUAUCUUCGGCCCAUGUCCGGCACCUCAACAGGACAAAUGCGCAAGCGGGUUCAAACGCCGCCGAAGCACUGCUCACGCCAUGUUUUGUCACUGUCAAAAGUUUCCUAACUUUUCCGGAAGUUGAAUAAUAAAAUGUUGGUAGUUUAAUAUGUUGGCAGAUUUUUCAUGAGUUUAGGUAUUUUUAUUAUUUUUACAAAACAAAAACAAUUGCAAUAUGAUAAUGGUAAGGAAUAUGAUUCCCUUUAUUAGACUCAUAUUUAAAUAUGAUUGAUGUUAAGACUGGGGGUUGUUCAGGCAUGAAUGGCCUGUUUAAGGUCCUGCCACAGCAUCUCAUAAACUGAAGCGCAGACGUUCUCCACCAGACUUUUCUAACAGAGAACAUAAUUCACGGUUCCUUAAUUACAGAAAGUGUUCCAGGCACUAAAGCAGCAAAGCAGCCCAAGAUCAUCACACUACCAUGAAAGUUAUCAAAACUAAACCAGUAUUUCUGAAAUAAUGGUUAUGUUUUACACCAGGAUGCACACCUUCUAAAAAGGUAUAUUUUUUCCUCAUGAGCCCUAUUCACCAAAAAGUCUUGGGCCUUAUCAAAAUGGUUUUUCUCUACUUUUUUGGCUGCCGUUUCCCCCUCUGUUCUUGUUUUACUUCCGUUUUUGGCAUAAUGAGCUGCUUUCUGGGAUGUUUCAGCCUACUUUGUCUUGUCAGACAAGUUCUAUUUUGGUGAGUUCCUAAUUGUACAAGUGUGGCCUUGAUCAAGCCUUGGUUUGGCUGUGGAAGUUGAACCAGAAAUGUGGUAAAUUUCAGUUAAUUUGGGAUUCAUGAGAGGUGGUGGAGGUCUUACUUUCCACAUAGAACUAGAUUAGUUUUGAUAACUUUGUUUGGCAAAUUAAUGAAGGCAUUAUUUGAGAAAUGCUUUUUGAAUUUGCUAAUUUUACCUUUGGCUGACAUUGAUAAGUAAGCAUGACCAAAUAAAAAACAAAAAAGGUCUGCGUAUGCUUUUCUCGCACAUAGGACUGCUAAUGAAACCUGGUCAAAAUAAUUCUUAGUGACCUUGGGCAAAGAACCAUCUACAAAUUUGCAACAGUUCAACAAUAUAAUCUGGGAAAUUAAAUAAUAAAAAGUGAUUAUAAGAAACAUGGCAGGAAUUGUGAUUACAAAAUAUUAAAGGGGAGUGCAAAGCGAGAAUAAUCAUUAAAAAAAAUCAAAGCCCGAGAGGGAAUAGAUUACAAACAUUAAACAAGAAAACUGAACACAAAACACAAUUAUUUUAGCAAAAAAUUUACAAAUUUGUUUGGUGAGUUCACUGCCAGCCUUCUCAUUAGAACAUGUCCUUUGGAAACACAAUUAUCCCUAAGUUUCCUCAAGUGGAGGCUUAAAAAUGACUCGCAGCAUAAGAGUGAUUGAUGGACUCAAAAGCAAGCUCAGUCCAUUUAUUACAGUUUAGUCUCUGGUUAAAAGAGGGGAAAAACCGAAAGAAUGCUAAAAAUAAAUUAUUGCAAAUAUAAUAUGCUGCCAUUAUUCAGACUGACUCACCACCAGUGGAAAGAAACCGCUCAAAUUUUCUCUGGUAAACAAUGAACUAUUGAUUCCUCUACGUUUGCCAGACAACAGCAGACGAUAGAGAAUAAGCUGUGGUUGGGAUUUCUUUUGAGUUAUCCAUCAUAUUCCAGGAAAAUUAGAUUCAGAAGACAUUUAUUCAACACGAGGUCCAAAACAUUGAACCUUUUAAACAGAUUUAUCAAUACAUACAAGCAUAUAUUUGCUCUACACAGGGGCAGAUGACAACAAAACAAUGGCGGAUAGCAUUGUGCUGUGUUAUGCUACUUAACCUUGUCAAUUUAACACAAGUUCUGGUAAUGGUUGUACGCGUCUUACAUGAACACUUGGUUCAUUUGGAGACAGGUUACUGUUUUCUAAACAACCUGGAAGCUAGUGAGGUGGUAGCUAAAGGUCAAAACAGCAUGCAUGCUAAAAUCACAGCGCCAUCUACUGCCUUGGCAUGACAACAACAGUAGACUUGAGGUGUCUUGGCAGUGUCGUCUAUAGUUGGAACUUUUCCAUGAUCAACAUCCAAAAAUACUGGCAGUUUCCAGACAACGGUCUCAUAUCAACGUAGCCUACUGAAGUUUUUAAAGUAGAGCAGAUUGAAGACGGUUAAGGUAGUGAAAAAUUAGGUGGAAUUGCCCUUAAGACAUUUCCUGAAACUUUAACUGCAAUCAGUAGCCAACACUUGGUGUAAUGUUUGAUUACAGUAAAAUGUAUCAAAAGAAAACAUGUCAGUGACGUAUGAUAUUUAGGCCAAGCAUUUUCUUGAUAAGGUUUUCUUUAAAGAAAAAAGUCUGUGUCUAAUGUUGAUCCGAGACAUGCUAGUCAUUAGCCUCCCCAAUGCUAAUGCUAGUCUUUCUUUGCUUAUGGACAGUAGAGGAAGAAGGCAAUCCAAUGGGUGACCAGCCUUGGCAUUCUAAUCUCUAGCCUAACCAAUGCUAAUGCAAGUGAGUAGUCUCUUUCUCAUUUGCCAGCGCUGACCUCUCUGAUAUUGGUCCCAUUAAUCACAUUAUUUGCUGACUUCAGAAUAGACAUGGCCUCUUGCGACAAGGAAGUAGCUGCCGCCAGGUGCAAUAGUCUUAAUUUGGCCCAAAUCUCCAAUGUCUAUGUCACUAUGCCUUUAAAUAAUUUUGGAAAGCCCAGAUAAUGAUUUCAUAGUUUUGCAAGCCUCUGGUAGGUUAAUCCUCAGCACAUCUGGGUGACAACACUGCUUCCUUGAGUGUCGUGUGUCCCAGAGAUGAAUGCACUUUGUUGGAAAACAUAUGGAAAGGAUUACAUUACUGUGAUGCAAUAAUAUUUUAUAUAUUCAAAGUGGCUUGAACUAACUGGCAAUAGUAUCUUUAAAUUUAGGCAAAAAGCAGAUAAGCAACGUUUUACUAAAAAUAACUGCACGGCCGUCAUCACAGUCCCUGCUGUCUCUGCUUCUCUGCAGCUUGGAACUCACAUUUGACUCUGAAGUAUUUUGGCUAUAGACGCUUGGUAAAUUUGAUUGAUCUAAUUUUUUAAAAGGACCUUUAUGGGGGAACAGAAUUACGUGCAGAAUGUUCAGCCAGAUUUGAGAAUCAUUUGGACCAUCUGUCCGUCAGCGGUAGUGGAUUUUCAGCACAGUGACCACGCUUAGAGCUCAUCUUUUUUUCAUUUCGGGAAUGUGUGGUUUUACACAUUAGCAACAAAACUGGAGCAUUUAUACAUGGAGGGGCUUUAUCACUCUAUAUCAAUGCUGAAGUAUUCUUGCACGUUUGUGUUUGUGACCUUUUGAAGUCAAUAUCUUUGCAGAAACUCUCACACAAACAAUGGAGACAUUUACCAACGGUCCAAAUGAAGCCUUUUAAAUCUCCGGUCAGCCUUUUACACUUUUUUGCUUCUCAGAUCUUUAAACACAAAGUUUGGGUCAAUGCCCAUGGAUCUCUAUUAAUCUCCUCUCUGUUUUUUCUUCAAAUCUGUCCUCCCUCCAAGCCAACAACUUUAAUGCCUGACACACACAAAAACAUGGUAGACCGUCUUCUUCCCCUGGGGCACCUUCAAAUCACCUCUCUGAAUAAUUCAGCCCGCUUGCUUUGUUCAUCGAUCCCCCUCUUCACGUCUCCCUCACGCAGACACAUAUUUCACUUAACACACACGCUGGGAAGAAACGUAGUAUGCGCUGUUCAUUACAAUUCAACACCGCUUCGAAUCUGCACUCUUCCCCUUACUAAUUCCAACUACAGGCUGGAGUUUGCUUUGAUUUUUGGAUCAUUGUGUAACCUGGUUGUUGUUAUAAUUACACAAAAUGUCUUUUUUUGUUGUUGUUUGUAUUGCUCUCUACCUGACCGAAAAGCUGUCAUUGUUUUGAAUGUGUUACUUUAAGAACAGUAGCCCCUCCUUUUUAUUUCUUCUUCUAUGGUUUUGUCUUUAAAAUGUUUGCGUCCCUUAGGCCCUCCCCUUUUGUCAUGUUGUCCUGCGGGAGAGGACUUGGAGCGGGCAGCUUGUAACUAUUGUUUUUCUGUUGGAUAUUUUCGUCAGGUAUGUUGUAUAGAAAAGGUUUAUUUUAUUUAAUGUGAGACAUGAUCCCCGCCCUUUUUGUCAUGUUGUCCUGCGGGAGAGGACUUGGAGCGGGCAGCUUGUAACUAUUGUUUUUCUGUUGGAUAUUUUCGUCAGAAUAAAUCUUUGAAAGCCAAA